Long non-coding RNA from Acanthochromis polyacanthus (spiny chromis), 386 nucleotides. RefSeq lists it as uncharacterized. NCBI's taxonomy places the organism in Eukaryota, Metazoa, Chordata, Actinopteri, Pomacentridae. The transcript is spliced from 2 exons. The record is from RefSeq and is a predicted model, not a curated record.
CUAGAAGGUAAGUACAGUCUGUAUUAGAAUGCAGCUGUUCUACGAGCUAGCAGCUUUUACUGUUCGCACUGGCCUUGACGUUAAUAUUUGAUUAGGAACAGGGAGCCGCUGACAUGUCGCAGCGGUAUCUGACUCACUGUACCAGAGUUCAACCUGGCAUCAAGGACAAGAAAGACGGGACUCCAAAUGGAAAAAUCGACAUGAAAACUACCAAAAUGCUUCAGGAAAUGAGGGGAGAGAGAGAGAGAGAGAGGUCGCACUGAAACCAGAGAUGCUACGAUUACAUGAUCAGCAUGCUGAACACCUCAACCACCGUAUAUGUUGACAUUUGAGUGUUUGUUUGAAUGACACGAUCUCAGAUUAAAGAUAAAAGCCUGAAAUGUUCA